This is a long non-coding RNA of Oryzias melastigma (Indian medaka), 3696 nucleotides long. RefSeq lists it as uncharacterized. NCBI's taxonomy places the organism in Eukaryota, Metazoa, Chordata, Actinopteri, Beloniformes, Adrianichthyidae. The record is from RefSeq and is a predicted model, not a curated record. The transcript is spliced from 2 exons.
UGAUCUUGGACAAUGAAUGAAACCCUUUGAUAUUUCAGGAGACGUUCAGCGUGAUCAUUGUACUAUCUGUGGCUGAUUCAGACACGAGUCGGUGCAGAUAAAGACAGAAUGAGGAACGUUUCUGCAGACAUAUCCAUCAGAUUAGAGAGCAGCUGCUAAAAUACCAUCACAAAGCAGCAGCACGGAUCUGAAGCUGCUGCUGUCUCUGGAGUCCACCGAGGUGGAGGUGGAGGGUCCUCCAGACGCCCCCACCUUUAUGGAUCCCACCUGGUCUGAGUUCGUCGCCACACCUGCUGAUCAGAGAUGAAUGAGAAAUGCCUCAGCGUGAGGAUCCAAACAGCUUCUUUUCAGUGAGCCAGCAGCCAGAGGAUGAGAACACCGAAGCGUUUGGUUUAUCUUUUCGCUGACAGAGCAUCGUGGGGGGGUCUGCUAACCCCCACAGGGAGCCCGGCCGGAUGGGAGGAAGCUUGGAGAUUCAUGGGGUGAGAUAUGUGAGAGUGUGGGUGGAGGUGUGUUUGGACGGCGUGGAGCAGCUGCUCCAGACGGGGGGAUACAGGAAAACGUAUCGAAAUCUUAACAACAAACAUGCUGUAAAUAUAGAUUCACAGGAUCUAAUUUAUGCAGGAAAUAACAUCUUUACUUCCAUAAACUGUUGAGAUUCAACAGCAAAAUGCAUGAACUUUAUAGUGAAAGUUGCUCAAAAUGCACUCACAGAAUGGACAUUUCCUAAAUUUCUCUUAGGUUUCAGUCGCUGGAGUCCCAAAUGAUGUUUCAGCUUCAAGCGUUUUAGGAGAAGUUGAGGUUCAUUCAGUAAAUCCAGAUCAUUUCUCAGGUUGGUUUCACUCAUGGAGUCCUGAAGACCAUCAGAGACAAAUGUUGUUCCUCGGUGGUCUCUGAACUCACCAGGGCGUUUGGCAGUCACAACUGAACGUGGUUUCAAAAAACUUCUUAGCUUUCAGAGUUUUUGUUUAGUAUAAACAGAAGAAUUAUGUCACAUGAAUGUAAUACAUUUAGGAAUACAUCCUUAGAAGAUUUUAGUUUGGAUUUUUACCACUUUGUCUUUGCUUUGUACAUUUUUAUGGGUAGAUUCAUACAUUUUUAUUAUGAUCUUUGUUAUGAAAAACAUUAUAAUCCCUUAUUUUUACUUUUUGCAGUAAAAAGACUACAUUUACCAUGUUUUUGUACAGUUUCAGAUUUAUUGUAAAAAUAAUGAUUUGUUUAAUGAUGAAAUAUCUUUAAUUUAUAUUUCUGCAUUUUUAAAAUUUUUUUUAUUGAUUUAACGCAGCUCUAAACGUUACCUUGCCCCGCCCAGUUGAUACUUUUGGAGCAUUGUUGAGGUGGGCGGAGUAUACUUCUGCCAACAUGCCCCUCCCACUUCAGGCUUAAGUUUUGUCAUUUGUUAGAACCCUCGGAGUGGCUUCUGUAAAGAAAUUCUCUAAAAAACUGACCAGACGCUGCAAUUAAAAGUGGGCGGAGCAUGCUGACCUCCACGUUCAAAACGUUUGACAGAUGUAGCGGUGGGGGUGUGGCCUUCCAGCGAGCUCACUGCUGAUUGGACUCAGACCGGCUCAGAACAAUGACUGCUUACUGACAACGUCUGGCUCCAAUAUGGCAGUGUCCGUACUGUGAAAGUACUGAUUGGAGCCAGACGUAAAUGCCAAACUCUGUCCAGUUCUCUAAUACAGUCAAUGAAGGGAAAAACAGAAACUGGUCUGACUUUUUUUCUCUGACUUUGUCGAUGUUUGUGUGCUUGAUCCAGAUCAGAUUCAGUUUAGCUUUUCACUACGCAAGAGAAUCUGAGGAAAUGUAUUCUGGUGCAGAUCAAAGCUCCUGUCUCCCAUAAAACACUUCUUCAUGUAGUAUUUGUGAGUAAAAACUACUGGGACUAUUGACGGGAAAAGUGAAGGAGGUGUGACAAAAUACAUGACAGUAUUCUGAUGACCAGAAAACUUUAACUGUAAUAAUGUCAUUAGUUAGUACUAUCUGAGGCCAGAUUAAGAAGAUUUAACACCAAAAAGGUUCAGCAGGUUCAGACGAUGGAUGGAUGGAUGGAUGGAUGGAGGAUGGAUGGAUGGAUUUAUGGAUGGAGGAUGGAUGGAUGGAUCCUCUAAGAUCAAUAUUACAGAGAGAGGAUUUCAUUCCAGUCUUUUAUGGGAAAAACCAACACGACUUUACGUGAGGUUUGUAGGAAAACGGAUCAUAGUCCUGCUAAUGUGGAGGAAAAGCUCUCCAUCCGUCAUUCCGUGGUUCUAACCUCCUGGUUCGAUGGGCGGACUCUGUUUCCAUAAGUGUUCACUCUGUGGUUAUGUGGUUUCCUGUUGGUUUUCUUGGUUUUAUCACCAAUGUUUCGAGUCAAAUCUCUUUAACGUGAAUGUAAUCUAGUAAAAUAACUUGUAACAGGAUAUGGAUUUACUAAAAAAAACAAAGCUUUCCUUUGAUUUAUUCUGUGUCUGACUGCUCACAGUCAUGUUCGGGAUUUUACUGUUCAGGAAGUUGAAUGAGGUUUAAAGGUCAAAGAGCUCCUCGGACCCUGAGAUGAAUGAGUCGGACGAUGACCAGAAUGGCCUCAGUGUCCUCUGUCCGACCUUCCCACUCUUUAGGUCCCCGUUUUCAUAUUUGUGUUGUUGCUAAGCAACAGGAAUGGGGUUUUCCAAGUAAAUUCACUCAUUUUAGAAUUAAAUCAUCCAAAAGUACCUUCAUUUUUAAAGUGAUGAGUUUCUUAAUUCUCUAUUUUAUAAGUCAAAUUGAGUCACAGAUUUUUGACGUACAUAUUUUUAAAAAAUUGCAUUUUUUUCUUUUUUUUUUCUGCUGACACAGCUAAAGUUCAUGGUAAAAACAACAGAAAACUGGGGAAGUUCAGACAGAGGUUUCCAUGGUUACCACAUGACUCUGUUGUGGAGCUCCAGAGUGAUAACCUGACACUGAAACAGGACGGAAGAUGAGAAGCGACCUAAGAAGGGCAGAAGAACUCCUCCUCCUCCUCGUCUUCCUCCAACAACAAACCGCACACUCAUUAUGAUUCCUGCAGGAAGGGUUAGCGAGCACAGAGGGCACGGAAAGUCAGACGCUCUGGGAAAUGAUGCCUUCAAGCGUCUGACUCAUGCAUGGCGACGUUCUAAACGGAGGAGCGGAGUAACUACAGGCCGGUGUUUGGGGCUGCGUGUAGCAACCUGUGUUUUUAUGCUGUCAGGCAUCAAAACUACACAUGAUGUAAAGCUACUUUUUGACUCAACAGUUGAAAUAGUUCAGUUAGAGGGAUUAGACGUGAUUCCAGCUAUUGGAGGAUUCCUCUUUCCACAUUAAAGUUCUUUCUUUUGCAUAAAAGUCCAAUUAAAAAUCUGUUUUUAGAGUAAACUUUUCUGCUGAACGUCCUUAAACGUUUCGAGCUCGGACUGAAACCAUGCGGUCUUUUUGUGGCUUUUGGUUUAAUAACCUCCGUUAUAUAUGAUGUUUAUGAGUGAAGUGAAAGUGCAGCUCUGCUUUCCUUUCUCCUCUCUGGGUUUGGGUGUUACAUCAUCACCGCCGGCGGAGGUCCUCCGGGUCGGCGUGGAAACUGGAGACUGGAAAGCGAGCGGUGAAGGCAUGAGAACUUCCAGAUGACGCUGGAAACAUCUGCAGGAAUGGACGGUGCAUCAACGGUGAUUAAGAGUCUGUGUGGGAAUUAAUGAACAACCUGUUCAUAAAGAAUAUAAGUUA